GAUAUGCAUUGAAUGUCAUAUAGGACCCAAUUUUUAUUUUCACAUUGAAGUUAGGCAUCAAAGGUGCAACCAUUGCACAUGUUCUCUCCUAGUACAUGAUGACAUUCACUCUCUUAUUAAUAUUAAUGAAAAAAGUGCAUCUCCUACCUCCAAGCAAAAAGGAUUUACAGAUUUUCCGAUUUCUUAAAAAUGGAGGAUUGUUGAUGCUAAGGGUAAUAGCAGUGACAUUUUGUGUUACCUUAGCAACAUCAUUGGUUGCAAGACUAGGUUCAAUUCCCAUGGCUGCAUUUCAAACAUGCCUACAGGUGUGGUUGACAUUGUCCCUUCUUGCAGAUAGUUUGGCUGUUGUUAUUUAGGAAAUGUUGGUGUAACCACAUAAUUACGUACUGGUGUCACUAGUAAGUGUAGCCACAGAAUUCAUUCUCUACAGGAUCAAACAUUU
Glycine soja is the source of this 442-nucleotide long non-coding RNA. RefSeq lists it as uncharacterized. Lineage: Eukaryota; Viridiplantae; Streptophyta; Magnoliopsida; Fabales; Fabaceae. The transcript is spliced from 4 exons. The record is from RefSeq and is a predicted model, not a curated record.